GCAUUAGUGGUGUAAUGGUUAACAUGUGGUCUUCCCAUUUACGAGUGGCCGCGUUCGGGGUUCGAUUCCCCGCUAAUGCA
Molecule: non-coding RNA, 80 nt
Organism: Armillaria borealis
Lineage: Eukaryota; Fungi; Basidiomycota; Agaricomycetes; Agaricales; Physalacriaceae
Source: the annotation of a GenBank genome assembly